AGCCCAUGGUGAGAGCAUGCUCUCAAAAGGUCCUUGUAUCUCUCCCAUGCAUCAUAGAGUGUCUCUAUAUCCAUCUGUACAAAAGAAGAGAUAUCAUUCCUCAAUUU
Molecule: small nucleolar RNA, 107 nt
Filed under: Gossypium arboreum
Lineage: Eukaryota; Viridiplantae; Streptophyta; Magnoliopsida; Malvales; Malvaceae
Description: Plant small nucleolar RNA R71
Rfam family: Plant small nucleolar RNA R71
About the family: R71 is a member of the C/D box family of snoRNAs containing the C (UGAUGA) and D (CUGA) box motifs. Multiple nearly identical copies of this snoRNA have been identified in Arabidopsis, and it is thought to function as a 2'-O-ribose methylation guide for 18S ribosomal RNA.
Source: Rfam by way of RNAcentral